This 3076-nucleotide long non-coding RNA is filed under the name Lynx pardinus (Iberian lynx). Lineage: Eukaryota; Metazoa; Chordata; Mammalia; Carnivora; Felidae. The record is from RNAcentral.
UGGUAGCACAGCAGUGUGACACUGGGGAAAGUGUGUGUGCCUGCACUCAAGAGGAGCCAAUGAGGUGCCAAUAGUCCCCCGGGGGAGGUGGGGGAGGGGUGACCCAGAUCCCCAAGGGAGCCCUGCUCCCCAGUGUUUUAGAGCUGUGUAUGAGGAGGUUAGGCUGGGCCCUUAACCACCUGCUGGGGAAGCCAAGCUGAGCAGAAAAAACGGCCAACAGGAAGAAGCACAGGAAACACCUGUGUGUGGAUACAGGUGGCUCAUUCCAGAAGGGGCUGGAGUGGGGGUGGUGGCAGGCAGACAGCCCUCAGCACAUGACACAGCUCUAUGCUCCCUCUAUAACUAUGAAGGGUGGCAUGGAGGGAUGGUGGAUGUUGUGCAGCUCAGCUUUUUGGAUGGUUGGCUAGGGUGGCAGGGGGUGGAGAAAGCAAACAAGUGAUAGAGACCAAGCCAGCACCCAAAGUUGGCCACAGUUUGGGCCUGCCCCAAGAGCCCCUAUAGGAAGAGUACAGUCCCAGAACCACCCCAAGGAGCCUAUCAGGCCUGAGGCCCUACAAGAGGCCCACUAGUGGGGCAGGACUAUCCACUUGGAUCCAAAUUGUAGCCUGUGUGGUCAGGAAAGAGGAAGUGAACAUUCACUGGCCAGGUCCUGGGAAAGUGCAGACAGGGGUGACUGGGCCAGGAUGAGCUCACAGCUCAAUCCACAGGAGAGCACAGGGCCUGGGCAAGAAGUAGAGGAUGGAAAAAUAUCAUCCCAACCAAGGGUUAAAUGAAGCAGUCACCAAAAAUCUGAGCAGCCUGCUUUCCAAUGCUGAGAAGGGAUAGGGCCCCUAACUCUGUCCUUUACAAGGAGAGUCCCAAGGCCAGAGCCUAGUAUUCAGCUCUAGCUGAGGGUGAGUGUGAGGGUCAGGAUGAGCAGGAGCCAGAAUUAGGGCACUGUGAGCACAGCCAGGUACAGGUGAAGGACUAUCAAGACCAAAGCAAAAAGUCUCAGGCCUUUGUCCCAUCAAGCCUACCUAGCUUAGAGCAGUGUGGAUCAAUUCCAGAACAGCCACUCGACCCCUCUCCAUUAACACCCUGAUGUCAGGCCAAAUGGCCUCCUACACCUAGGCCCAGGCCCAUGUAUGUGAUGUAGUUGAGGACAGGGAGAGGCUCUCGUACCCUCCCCUCCCCCAACAUACACACAGCCUCACAGGUGCUCCCCCACCACCCGGCACUCCCUCCACCUCCUACCUGCUGUCACACAGGUUCAGGGAGGCACUCAUUCCUGCUGCCCAAAGUGAUGGGGGGGAGGGGGCCUGAUGACACCAUCAGGAUUCAAAGGCACCAGGGCAGGGAAAGCCUAUGCAUAGCUGUCCUGUGGAGCCUGUGCCAGCCUCUGUGAGAGGACAGCAGAAGUGUUACAUACUGAGGAGUGCCCCAUCAAUCAAGUCCAUCAAGGCCACAGCUAUGCCUUUGCCAUCAUAGUUGGAGCUCUCUCAGGACAAAAUAUAAGUGCAGGAUACAAAAGAGGGACCAGACUGAGGUAGUCCAGGAUAGUUUAUUGUGUUGGUGGUCAUCGGCGCUUCCCCUUUCUCCCCCUUCGUCUUCUAAUCUUACCUUUUUUCCUGUCUCCCACUCUUCUUCUCCGUGUAUUCAAAGCUGUAGAGAACCAAAAAAAAGAAGAAAGAAAGGCAUGUUUGUGAAGGCAAAGAAGCAGAUGGGUUGGCACGUGGGAAGAGGACUGCUUGCUUCUUUGUCUCACCCACAAAGUGGGGGUGCCUUCUCUGUGUGUUUCUGUGCACGAUGUGUGGGUACAAUUUGCUGAACCCUAGGCAUAUGACAUGCUCCUUCGCCCUCCUUUCCAGCCACCAGACAGCCCUGGAGUGUCCUAUUCAGGCCAUCCAUCUACCUGCCAUGGCUUGGCUGUCGGACCCAGACCUUCUGUGCCUGGGUAAUAUUGGAAGGGUAAGCUUGGUAAGGACUCCAGGGCCUAGAUGAACAGCUAUGGACAAGCAGUCUAUCAUUUAGAAAAUGAGACUGUCAAUAGCCUGCAAGAGAGGAGCCUCUUUUUUCAAAAGGUUACAAUAUGGUGGUGACCACAUUUGAGUUUGAGUUUGAUGUCAACGGUCAAGUCUCAUUUGUCUCUAAACAUACCCAGGGCAUAUGGACUCUCAAUAAAUGCUGCUUUAGAGCCACUGAAUAAGUAAUUGAAUUGCCAUGGCUAAAACCUACAUCUCUAGCUAUUUCCUCUGAAUCUCCUUACAAUCCUCUCUCACCUCCUACUCAAGCAUCCUCUUACAAACAUCACUCCCUAAGAUUCUAUUCUAGGCCCUUUCCUGUUCUCUCUUGAAACACUCCCUGAACUACCACAUCUAUUCCUCUGACUCCCAUUUAUAUGCUGAGGCUGAAUCCAAUGAUUCACACGGCUCUCUCCUCACCCCAUAUCCAACUGCUGGCUGGAUACCUCCUUUUGAAUAGCCAAGGUGUUUCAAACUCAGCAUGCCCAAAAUCAAACUGAGUAUCUCAAAGCUUGUUUCUUCUCCGGGUCUCUUGAGGUUACCAAACUACCAAGGGACCCAAGCCACACAAUAACCUCAACCUUGACUCUUUCCUUUGUCCCCUCAUCCCAGCCACCAGAAUCCUCUCAAUUAAAUGCCCUAAAUAUUUCUAAAUUCUGUCCACUCCUCUUUAUCCCCGUUGGCACCACUCAGAUUCAGGACAUGUUGACCUCUCACUAAGACACUGAAACUCCCUCACAGGCUUCCUGCCUCAGGUCUUACCCUUCUUCCAUCCAUUUUCCAUGGUUCAUCAGAAUGAUUUCUUUUUUUUAAGUUUUAUUUCAUUUAUUUUGAGAGAGAGAGAAGUGGAAGGGCAGAGAGAGAGAGAGAGAGAGAAAAUCCGAAGCAGGCUCCACACUGUCAGUGCAGAGUCUGAUGUGGGGCUCGAAACUCACAAAUUGCAAGAUCAUAGCCCGAGCUGAAGUCAGACGCUUAACUGACUGAGCCACCCAGGCACACCUUUCAGAAUGGCUUCUAAAACAAACCCACCACAGAGGCUCUCCUUUCGGAAAAGUCCAGCUCCCUCAACCUGGGCA